GGGUUUAAUCUCUUAAAAACCCAACCAAAAUCAAAGAAAUGGAGAGGGAGGGUGUGAAGGCUCCCUUACCUCUUCUCCCUGCAGGUGCCAAGCUCAGGGGAGCUCUAGGGGCGUGGGUGAUACAAAUAGAGAUGCCACAAUCGCGAAAAACCCCCUGCAGUUCAAACUGCUCAAAACUAUCUCUGCGUACCGGUACACGGGCCCACGUACCGGUACACCUCCCACGAAACUGCCAAACCCGAGCCUCGGGUUGGCUGAGAAGCAGCCAAUGUUGAUGGCUAUACCGGUAUAGCCAUCACCCCGUACCGGUACACAGCCCUCUGAAGGCUACCCGAGAGCUAACCAAAAAUUCGAUUUUUCGGGUUUUGGUGCUAGACUUUAAACCUCAAUUCUCGGGACUCGAACCACGGGUCGGAACACUGUCUACGACCCUCCACAAAGUGUGGAAAAGCUCGGAACACAACCAAUCACUCGAACCUCGCAAUUUGCAAUGGUCCAGUGUGUUACAUUCACCCCUCCUAAAAAGGAGUUUCGUCCGCGAAACUCGAAAUGACAAGUACCUCAAGCCUCCAUCUGAAAAAGAUGGGGAUAGGGCUCCCUCAGUGCGCUCUCCAGCUCCCAAGUGGCCUCGCGCUCGUCGUGGUUGCUCAAAAGCACCUUCACGUAAGAAAUUUUUCGGUUCCGUAAUCUUUUCACCUCGCGAGCCAAAAUCCUCAAAGGUUGCUCCUCAAAGCUUAAGUCCUCUCUCAGCUCCAAAGGCGUAGCGUCCACAACAUGAGCUGGGUCGUGGAUGUACCUCCGAAAGACCGAUACAUGGAAUACAUUGUGUGCACCGAUAGGUUCAGCGGUAGAGCAAGUCUAUAUGCUACCGGGCCUACACGCUCCAAAACCUCAUAUGGUCCAAUGUAUCGGGGGCUCAACUUACCCCGGAUUCCAAAUCUUCUAAUCCCUCGAGUCGACGAGACUUUUAAGAAGACAUGGUCUCCAAUCUGAAACUCCAAGUCUCGUCGCCGCUUGUCAGCAUAACUCUUUUGCCUACUCUGGGCCGUCAACAGUCGCUAAGCUCCGUGAGAUACCUGCCUUCACAUCUAGCGGUGAAGUAACCUCACUUCAACCGCUCUCUAACCGAAAUCCGGGACUACACGAGGUCCUUCGUCUCCUGUUCCAAGCGUAACGAAACUNGCAAUGCGAACCUUGUCCUCUGCUUCCUGGAGCACAUCAGGGCCUAAAGCCAAUCUCUCGCCAACUUCACUCCAAUGAAGUGGCGAUCUACACUUCCGUCCAUAGAGUGCCUCGAACGGUGCCAUCUUGAUGCUUGCUUGAUAACUGUUGUUAUAAGCAAACUCUGCCAUCGGUAGAUGCUGCGACCAUCCUCCCUAGAAGUGAAUCACACAAGCUCGAAGCAUAUCCUCGAGAGUCUGUAUCGUACGCUCCGACUGCCCGUCACUCAGGGGGUGGAAAGCAGUACUGAAGUCCAAGCGCGUACCCAGAGCAUCCUGUAAGCUCCUCCAAAAGUGGGAUACAAAACGGGGGUCUCGAUCCGAUACUAUAGAAGUAGGCACCCCGUGCAAUCGCACAAUCUCUCCAAAUAAACCUGUGCGAGUCUCUCACCAGUCCAAGUAGUGUGGACAGGUAUGAAAUGUCCUGAUUUCGUCAAUCUAUCCACAAUCACCCAAAUAGCGUCAUGCCCGGCCUGCGAGCGGGGCAAUCCCAUCACAAAGUCCAUAGUGAUCUUCUCCCAUUUCUAUACGGGUAUCGGUAAACUCUGCAGCUUUCCCAUAGGAACUCGGUGCUCAGCUUUCACCUGUUGGCAAGUUAAGCAUCUAGCAACAAACUCACCAACAUCCUUUUUCACCCCGGGCCACCAAUAAAGCAACUUCAAGUCCUUGUACAUCUUGGUGCCUCCCGGAUGUAUAGCAUACGGUGCUCGGUGUGCUUCAUGAAGAAUAUCCUCUUUAAUGCCCAAGUACGCCGGUACACAAAGUCGUCAGCGAAAACGCAUAAAUCCCACACCGUCUAAAGUGAAGUCACCGGUGCAACCAUCAACCAUCUUAGCUUGAAUCUUUUGCAACUCUACAUCGUGAGUUUGCUUUUCCCUGAUCCUCUCCAAAAGAGUAGGUUGCACCGCCAAAGUCAUCAGCCUCAAAGGUGUAUCAGGAGCCACCACCUCCAACUCCAACCGCUUCAUCUGCUCGAUCAACGGCGGUUGAGUAACCACAAGCAUCGCUAAGUUUUCCGUCGAUUUCCUACUUAGCGCAUCAGCCACCACGUUAGCCUUGCCUGGGUGGUAGAGUAUCGUCAAAUCAUAAUCCUUGAGUAGCUCCAACCAUCUGCGCUGCCUCAAGUUCAACUCCUUCUGAGUGAAUAGAUAUUUUAAGCUCUUGUGAUCCGUAUAUACUUCGCAUCGCUCGCCGUAUAAGUAGUGGCGCCAUAGCUUCAAUGCAAAGACCACGGCUGCCAACUCUAAGUCGUGAGUAGGGUAAUUCCUUUCAUAAUCCUUCAAUUGGCGAGAUGCAUACGCGAUCACUUUUCCGUCCUGCAUCAAAACAUAGCCCAAUCCGUUAAAGGAAGCAUCACUAUAAAUCACAUACCCUGCUCUAGCUGUCGGCAAGGUAAGGAUCGGGGCGGUCGUUAAUCUCUGUUUCAACUCCUGGAAGCUCCUUUCACACGCAUCAUUCCAAAUGAACUUGGUGCCUUUAUGCGUGAGCCUCGUGAGGGGGGUAGACAACUUUGCAAAUCCCUCGACAAACCGCCGGUAGUAGCCGGCCAAACCAAUGAAGCUUCGUAUCUCAGUCACGCUCGUCGGCCUCGGCCAAUCCUUGAUAGCUUCAAUUUUCCUAGGAUCCACAGCUAUCCUGAUCCUGAAAUCAAAUGGCCCAAGAAUGCCACCUCUCUAAGCCAAAACUCACACUUUUUCAACUUGGCAUAAAGCUUCUUUUUCCGAAGCACUUGAAAUACUAGUCUCAAGUGUUCCUCGUGAUCCGCAUCACUUCGGGAAUAGACCAAAAUGUCGUCGAUGAACACCACGACGAACCUGUCUAAAUAAGGCUUGAAAACACGGUUCAUUAAAUCCAUAAAAGUUGCCGGGGCAUUAGUAAGCCCAACGGCAUAACGGUAAACUCAUAAUGUCCAUACCGUGUUCUAAAAGCCGUCUUCGAUACAUCCUCAGGUCUGAUCCUCAACUGGUGGUAUCCCGACUGCAAGUCGAUCUUGGAAUACACACAAGAUCCCUGGAGCUGAUGAAAUAGAUCAUCAAUCCUCGGUAAUGGAUACUUGUUCUUGAUCAUGACUUUGUUAAGUUCACGAUAGUCCACGCACAAACGAAGUGAUCCAUCAUUCUUCUUCACAAAUAGGACCGGUGCUCCCCAAGGUGACACACUUGGUCGCACAAAACCCUUGUCUAGAAGAUCCUGUAACUGUGCCUUCAGCUCUCUCAAUUCUGCUGGUGCCAUCCUAUAGGGUGCCUUUGAGAUUGGAGUAGUCCCGGGAACGAGAUCUACCACAAACUCAAUCUCCCUGUCAGGUGGCAUGCCUGAAAGCUCCGCUGGAAACACAUCUCCAAACUCCCGCAUUACGGGGAUAUCCUCAAUCCUAGGGGCGUCAUCCUCACCUCGCAACACAACAGUAGCCAAGUAGGCUACACAGCCUCUACCUAUUAACUGCCGAGCUCGAGAAGAGCUAAUCGUCAUCGCAAAAAGUGAACUCUGGCAUCCUCGGUACACAACCUCCGCCUGCCCCGGCUCUCUAAACGUCACCGUUCGAUCCUUGCAAUCGAUGGUGGCAAAGUACUUGGUCAACCAAUCCAUGCCCAACACAACAUCAAACUCCCCGAGUUUAUGCAAAGCUAGCAAGUCCGCGGGCAUGAUCCAAUCUCCAACCCGAACAGGGCAACUGGGGCAAAACUCCCGAAUGUCCAAAGAAUGAUCGGGUACAACAACUCGUCCCGGAUGCAACAAGGAUACAAGUGGGAUGCCAUGCAACUCGGCAAACAGUCGGUUUAUGAAUGAAUGCGAUGCACCGGUAUCAAACAAUGCUCUAACUCGAAUACCAUAAAGUAAAAUAAUACCUGCGACCACAUUCUCGGCUGCCGCCGCCUCCUCAGUCUGGGCCGCAUACAUGCGGCCGCUCGGGGCCUGUCGUGACCCCUCCGCCUGUCGCUGAACAGGUGGCCGUCCGACCUGGUGAUGCGCGGAAGAUGUCCCCUGGCUGGGACCUGGCGAUGCUGGUGCAGAUGCCGAAGAUGGCGCUGGCAAUGGACUCCUCGGACAGUCCGACUGGAAGUGGCCCUCCUGGCCACACAGGAAGCACCUGCCCCGGCUGCGUGAACACUAUCGCCGGUAGUGGGGACCACCACAGAUCACGCAGCGGGGAGCCUGGCGACGAUCGGGUCCUCCUCGCUGAGUAGACGAGCCACGUCCUCGCGACUGGCUCCGGCUCCUGGGGUGCCUCAGCGGCCUCCGUGAGUGCGUCUGACUCGCACCCUCAGCUAGAGGCCUCUUGCCCUUCCCUUUCUCCGAGCUCUCGCGACGCUCCUGCAGAUCCACCGCUCCUGCCUCCACUAUCAACGCUCGAUCCACAACCUCCCGAUAGGUCUGGAGGUUGGAAGACUACACCAACCGGAAGAUAGAAGGCCGCAAACCGCGCUAAAAAAUACGGGCCUUGUCCUCGUCAUCCCUCACAACAAACGGUACACAGUGAAGUAGCCGGGAGAACUCCCUCUCGUACUCGGCCACUGUUCGCUCGUCCUGGCGCAAGCUGCGCAAAUCCUGCUCCAUCUUCCUCUUGACGCUGGUCGGAAAGUAAUGCGCUAGAAGAAGCUCCUUGAACCUCGUCCAAGUAAUCGCUGCCAAGUCGGUGUUGGGGUUGUCCUGAAUAUCCAACCACCAACGGUAGGCCUCGCCGUCAAGAAAGUGAGUGGCAAGCCAAACUCUGUCCCGCUCCUCCACAAAGGUGUCUCGAAAAAGCUUCUCCAUGUGCAUCAACUACUUCUCAACAAUCCAGUGGUCGACGUUCUCGCCAUCAAACGUCCUUGGGCUGCACCUCCUGAACUCACUGAGGCGAUCCAUGAGUCGAUCCCGCUCGGCUCCCUCGGCCCUCACGAGGAAAGCCGCCCCCGUGGCCGGUCUCUGAACUGGGUGUGCCGCAGCCACCUCCUCCCGAGGUGUGGUUGCCGGUGCCGCACGGGAAGAACUGGGCGCGGGGGACUGCGCUCUCGGUGCGAUGUCCACCAUGGGUGCUGGCGGUGUGGGAACCUGGGUCUCCCUCGAAGCUGCCGCCUGCUGGAGUAGGAGGUCCUCAAGUUGCUUCAUCCGCGCCUCCUGUCGCUGAGCCACCUCAGCCUGUCACUGCGCCACUGCCGUCUGCUGCGCCAACAGAUCAGUGAGAACUGCAAGCUGGGUCCUCAAGUCACGGACCUCACUAGAUCCGGAAGUAGCGGAGGUCUCGACCUCCUUAGGGUGUGCUGCAUCAUCCGCCCCGGCAGACUGGGAGCGUGUAACCGGCAUCGUCACUACAAAACAUAAAAGCGCAAGUUAGUAACCCACGCUAUCGCAUCCCCGCUCAAAUAAGUAAGUACUCAAAUCAUGCGAAAGUAAGAAAGUGUCCUUCACUACUAACUCCCGAUGUUACGUUGUCUGCCGCCAACGUAACCCUCCGCGAAGUUAGAAGUCAUACACUCCGAUCGAACUCUAACUUUUUAGAGUUAUCUUCAAACCCAAUCGAAAUACUUUCGCUAACAAUUCAAUUGGACCUCGUCUCUCGCGAGCCUAUUUUCUAUAAUCCAACUGGCCUAAGGUUUGCAAGGUCCUUUAAGACUCAACCCUAGGCUCUGAUACCAAAUUAAUCUGUCACGCCCCGGGAUCGGCAGAGGCCCUCUCGGGAGCGCGCCCAGACCCGCCAUAUGUCUACACAUACAAGGCGUCUACAAUAAAAACGAAAGUAAAAGCAAGAAAUAAUCUACAACUAGAGAUAUCAGAGCAAAUAUAAUUUUAUCAUCUAUAAGGAGAGAGUACAAAGAUCACAACUAAACCAUAGAAGUAAAAUAUAAAGUAAUACAAUAUCUGUCCAAAAGUACACAAAUGGGGUGGUCUCUAGUACACUGGUACAGCUCUCAACCUCUCCAAAAUAAAAACAUCGAGAGGUAGACCACCUAGCGACUCGUCACUCGCUGAAGAGCUAGCUCGAAGCCACGCCCUUCCCUCGGUCCCUAGCCUCUUCCGGCGUGGAAGGCUCUGAAAGAAAACAUAAAACAGAGGGCGUGAGAACUAUAAUUUAUAGUUCCCAGUGGGCAAUUACUGACCUCAGCUCAAUGCACCACUAGGUCCCAAAAGAAAAGAGUAAGUAACGACAAUAAUAAUAAGCAAUAAAGAGCGAGUAUAAGAACUGCUGAAAGAAAGCAUAAAUAAAAUGCUAUACUACUAUGUCUCAAGUAAGCAUGAUGUCAUGGGGAUGUACAUCUACGCUAUCAUAAGAUAAUAUGUCCAAUGCAUAAGGAGUAAGCUCUAUCAAAGCAACCCAGUAUACUAUGAUGUAAUGAAUGAAACAGGCAAGUAUACUAUAUAUAUCCCAAUGCUAUGUCAUGAGCAUGUUAAGUAAUCCAACUACUAAGCCUAUCUAGUAGUGAUUAUACAUUCUCAACACUGUGUCGAUUUCCAUUUCCAAUUAAAGACCUACCAAAGGUAGUCGAGCUUGUGCCGCCUAAGUGCCUGUGGUAGCCGAACAUCCCCACUCUUGGAAUGUGUCUGUCCCACUCGACCCCGUAGGCUUCUCAAUACCGCACGAGCGAACAUAAGUCGCGUAGGCUAACUCCGGAGUGCCGGCUUGUAGGGAGCGACCCUCAUAAGCAUGUGCGAAUGAGCACAAAUGGCAAACAAGCAUAGUCAACGUCUCAAGUAUCCAAUCCUCAUGUCUCUAACAUGGUAUCGUCACUAGCAUCCCGAAAAUCUAGUUUAAGUCACAAGGUGAAGUUCUAACAUUCACUACGCCUAGUGCCCCUUGAUGACACUUAGACAAUUUAAUGUUCAACAUAAUCCAAAUCCCUCAAUGGCCCUAACCACUAGGUUCACACAUAUCCCGAGCUCAAUGCCGCUUGAUGACAUUAGCUCUCUAAUUCACAUACAUUCUAGUUCGAUGCCUCUAUAUGGCAAUUUUGUCAUCUUUCAUGUCUCAAAUAAACCUAGGUUUAAAUACAUGAAUCAAAGCUUAUUUUCAUUAUAAGGAACAUGGCCCAACAUGAGAAUGCUAAACAAUCAACCAUAAGCUUCAUAUGCGACUCUCUAUUACAUAGAAGUCCAAAAUUGCACUAUAUGUAACAUAGGCAUUUUAAGCAUUCUAAAAUUCACAAUAAAUACAUAUAACAAGAAUAUGCCAUUGCUUUUUCAUUUACAAUACUUUAAAUCAUCACACAAUGAGGUUUUUUCAUUGUGUGGCUAGGUCAAACCCACCGAACCGUCGCGUAGUGCCUUGUUUCGCCGAACGAAGUUGUCCAUGAGUCUCAAAAUAUCCUAAAAGUACUGAGCGAAAAGAUACACGGGCAUUACGAUCAACUAUAAGAUCAAACAUUAACCUAGAAGCAAAAGGGGCCAAAACUCACCUCAAGAGAAGAAAUCUCUUCCAAAGCUCCAAAAGAGAGCUAGAACCCUUCCAAUCCAAGCCCAAGGAAGGUUCUAAACCAAAGAAUCUAGCUCCAAAAGCCCUAGAUUCGAAACGCCCAAAAUAAACCCUAAGUUCUCAUUUUAGGGUUCCAUCUACUAUAAAGCAUCAAAACCAAAAUCUAGAGGGAGAGAAUAAGCUACCAACCUCUUAGAAGCUUCAAUCCAAGCUCAAGGUUCUCAAACUUCAAGGAUCCACCCUCACCAAGCCUCAAGUCCAAGCUCCAAGGGUGAAGAAGCCUCCAAAGAAGCAAAAGAGAGCAAAAGAGGGGGUUUAAUCUCUUAAAAACCCAACCAAAAUCAAAGAAAUGGAGAGGGAGGGUGUGAAGGCUCCCUUACCUCUUCUCCCUACAGGUGCCAAGCUCAGGGGAGCUCUAGGGGCGUGGGUGAUACAAAUAGAGAUGCCACAAUCGCGAAAAACCCCCUGCAGUUCAAACUGCUCAAAACUGUCUCUGCGUACCGGUACACGGGCCCACGUACCGGUACACCUCCCACAAAACUGCCAAACCCGAGCCUCGGGUUGGCUGAGAAGCAGCCAAUGUUGAUGGCUGUACCGGUACAGCCAUCACCCCGUACCGGUACACAGCCCUCUGAAGGCUACCCGAGAGCUAACCAAAAAUUCGAUUUUUCGGGUUUUGGUGCUAGGCUUUAAACCUCAAUUCUCGGGACUCGAACCACAGGUCGGAACACUGUCUACGACCCUCCACAAAGUGUGAAAAAGCUUGGAACACAACCAAUCACUCAAACCUCGCAAUUUGCAAUGGUCCAGUGUGUUACACC
Molecule: long non-coding RNA, 8429 nt
Filed under: Ananas comosus (pineapple)
Lineage: Eukaryota; Viridiplantae; Streptophyta; Magnoliopsida; Poales; Bromeliaceae
Description: long non-coding RNA (ACOM_LNC033152)
Source: RNAcentral